CUUGACCGAGCCGAGCCACAGCGGCGCGUCCUCGUCGCGGUCCUGACCGUAGGUGGCCAGCAGGGCCUGCGCCUC
Non-coding RNA from Streptomyces sp. MMG1121, 75 nucleotides. It matches the Rfam family "ASpks TB sRNA". Lineage: Bacteria; Bacillati; Actinomycetota; Actinomycetes; Kitasatosporales; Streptomycetaceae. The record is from Rfam.